This is a small nucleolar RNA of Malania oleifera, 107 nucleotides long. The record is from RefSeq and is a predicted model, not a curated record. NCBI's taxonomy places the organism in Eukaryota, Viridiplantae, Streptophyta, Magnoliopsida, Santalales, Ximeniaceae.
AACUUGAUGAUGUGGGCAUUUACGGAGCAGGUCCCUAAAGCGCUCUUAUGUCUCAAAGAAAAGUUCCCCAUCCGUUUGUGUGAAACUUGUGAUUGCCUUUCACAGCU